RNAcentral lists this ribosomal RNA (468 nucleotides) under uncultured bacterium. RNAcentral's name for it is "partial 16S ribosomal RNA". It matches the Rfam family "Bacterial small subunit ribosomal RNA", at positions 28 to 507 of the family's 1533-position model. The record is from RNAcentral.
GACGAACGCUGGCGGCGUGCUUAACACAUGCAAGUCGAACGGCAAGGCCCUGCUUUUGUGGGGUGCUCGAGUGGCGAACGGGUGAGUAACACGUGAGUAACCUGCCCUUGACUUUGGGGUAAGUUCAGGAAACUGGGGCUACUACCGGAUAGGAGAUCCUGCUGCAUGGUGGGCGUUGGAACGUUUGGGCGGGUGGGGAUGGACUCGCGGCUUAUCAGCUUGUUGGUGGGGUAGUGGCUUACCCAGGCAUUGACUGGUAGCCGGCCUGGGAGGGGGGCCGGCGACAUGGGGACUAAGAGACGGCCCAGACGGCAACGGGAGGCAGCGGUGGGGAAUAUUGCACAACGAGCGGGAGCGUGAGGAAACGGCGCCGCGUUCGGGAAGACGGCCUUCGGGGUGAGAACCGCUUUCGCCUAAUACGAAGCGGGAGUGACGGUAAUGGGUAAAGAAGCACCGGCUAACUACGUG